UUUGAACAAGGAUAGUUGUGAAAUGGGGUGAAAACCAUUAAAUUAUACACAUAAAAAUCCAGCAAGAAGAUUAAACUACUAAAUGUAUUCAUUUUAGAUCAAGACAUCAAAGAGGGAGAAUCAAGCAAAGGCAAAGCAAAGAUAAUCGAGUAGUCGAUUGGGAAUCAUUUCAUCCAAUAUAAGGUUUCUUGGACUCGUCCUUUUGCGUGCUCGUGAUCGUCAUCGAAGUCAUCACACCGGCUAGCAACUUUUGGUAUCUUUUUUUGUAGUCGGUCUAGGAGAACAUUUUGGCAUGUAUAGGCUAAUAUGCUUUGUUGAACUUUGGUAUGUAAACUUUUAGCCAUGCGAAAAUGGCAUAAAUGUUCGGUUGGAUUUAGUUCUCUAAUGUUAAGUUGCAAGUCUUGGUAAUUCGAUUUUUAUGCCAUAUGCCAUGGUUGAUUAUUUUGGUGUUAAAA
This is a long non-coding RNA of Gossypium arboreum, 455 nucleotides long. RefSeq lists it as uncharacterized. Lineage: Eukaryota; Viridiplantae; Streptophyta; Magnoliopsida; Malvales; Malvaceae. The record is from RefSeq and is a predicted model, not a curated record. The transcript has 2 exons.